Molecule: signal recognition particle RNA, 269 nt
Filed under: Ciona intestinalis (vase tunicate)
Lineage: Eukaryota; Metazoa; Chordata; Ascidiacea; Phlebobranchia; Cionidae
Description: Metazoan signal recognition particle RNA
Rfam family: Metazoan signal recognition particle RNA
About the family: The signal recognition particle (SRP) is a universally conserved ribonucleoprotein. It is involved in the co-translational targeting of proteins to membranes.
Source: Rfam by way of RNAcentral
GGCGUGCGCCUGUAAUCCAGUUACUUGGAGGCUUGGAUUGGAGGACGGCGUGAGAUUGGGAGCCAUGUGGCGCUCUGCCCUAUGUCGAUCGGGCGUCAGCGCUAAGCUCGGCGUCAAUAUGGACAUCCCGGGGGAGCUUGGGGUGGCCAGGUUGUCUAAGGAGGAACGAACCGGGCGAGGCCCGAAAGGGAGCAGCCAAAAGUUCCCACGUUGAUCAGUAGCGGGAUAGCGCCUGUGAAUAGGCGGAGUGUCACAGCCCAGUCAAUAUC